Pantherophis guttatus is the source of this 396-nucleotide long non-coding RNA. RefSeq lists it as uncharacterized. Lineage: Eukaryota; Metazoa; Chordata; Lepidosauria; Squamata; Colubridae. The record is from RefSeq and is a predicted model, not a curated record.
CACUACAUCAAACUGACUUUCUUAUCUUCUAAUCUACUUUUAGAUUAGUCUAACAAAAAUAUAUUAUAUGGGAGCAGGAUAAAAGUUUGUGCUUAAAAGUAGGACUUGGGGACAUUGUCCUUUACUAAAGAGAGAGAAGGUCUUUCAGGCUCAGGCAGAAAAUGCAAAAAUAUUGAUUAGAACUGUAGAGAAGUCUUUUUUCAACUGGACCCAUUGACUGGGGGGACUCCAAGACCAACUUGUGGAGACGGUGCUCUUCUAGAGGAAAAAUGAACACGUAACACUUCAAGGUCCACCUUGUAUGUAUUAUCUUGAUAUAAUCUGGAAUCUGUAUGGAGGAUACACCCAAGGGAGCAAAUGAACUAAAACUAAAAGAAACAGGCUUGCUUAAGGUGA